Molecule: ribosomal RNA, 356 nt
Filed under: Ochrosphaera sp. ERP-2014
Lineage: Eukaryota; Haptophyta; Coccolithales; Hymenomonadaceae
Description: SSU rRNA
Rfam family: Bacterial small subunit ribosomal RNA
Source: RNAcentral
GUACUUGAGGAAUAAGCAUCGGCUAACUCCGUGCCAGCAGCCGCGGUAAUACGGGGGAUGCAAGCGUUAUCNCGGAAUCAUUGGGCGUAAAGCGCCUGUAGGUUGUCUAAUAAGUCUGUUGUUAAAGACUAGGGCUUAACCCUNGGGAAAGCGAUGNGAAACUAAUAGGCUUGAGUAUGGUAGGGGUAGAGGGAAUUUCUAGUGUAGCGGUGAAAUGCGUAGAUAUUAGAAAGAACACCGGUGGCGAAAGCGCUCUACUGGGCCAUUACUGACACUGAGNAGGCGAAAGCUAGGGGAGCAAAAGGGAUUAGAUACCCCUGUAGUCCUAGCCGUAAACGAUGGAUACNUAGGUGUUG